UGGUAGGAAUAGGUUUAGAGAGAAUCCAAUUUCAUAGAAUUAAAACAUGUCCCUAAAGAAACAAAAUAAAUUAGUAAAGUUCAUUAUAGACCAAACCAUAUCUCAUAUAGUCUCAUGACUCUUCUUAUCUCGUUGAGUGAGAUGUACUAAGAGCAGUCCAAUAUGAAACUAUGCCAUUUUAUGAGAUAAUCGAAAAAUUUUUUUUAUUAGUAUUGCAUCC
This 220-nucleotide long non-coding RNA is filed under the name Elaeis guineensis (African oil palm). RNAcentral's name for it is "long non-coding RNA (EGUI_LNC041832)". Lineage: Eukaryota; Viridiplantae; Streptophyta; Magnoliopsida; Arecales; Arecaceae. The record is from RNAcentral.